AUCGGCUGGCAGUAAGGCGGGGCCUCAGUUCAAGGGGCUGAAACAAUGGGGUUGAGCUCCUGCCCAGGAAUAUCUAUCUGGCUUGUCAACUGUGUUGUGCUGCUUCUCUGCUCUACAGCGUGUGCUUACCAGCUGGAGCUGACCCUGGCUCACAUAAACGAGACCACUCAACUCAGGAAGGGUGAAAGACCAGUUGGUCCUGUGAUCAUUGCUCGAAACUUGAGCUUGAAGAAUAAAAGCACGGAGACCUAAAAACAGAGGCCUGGGAGCACAGCUGUGGGUCAUGGCACAGCCAGCACCCCUGGUUCUCAUUUUAUCCAUGCUGCUUCAUACUUGC
Long non-coding RNA from Peromyscus eremicus (cactus mouse), 337 nucleotides. RefSeq lists it as uncharacterized. NCBI's taxonomy places the organism in Eukaryota, Metazoa, Chordata, Mammalia, Rodentia, Cricetidae. The transcript is spliced from 2 exons. The record is from RefSeq and is a predicted model, not a curated record.